Long non-coding RNA from Cygnus atratus (black swan), 758 nucleotides. RefSeq lists it as uncharacterized. The record is from RefSeq and is a predicted model, not a curated record. The transcript has 3 exons. NCBI's taxonomy places the organism in Eukaryota, Metazoa, Chordata, Aves, Anseriformes, Anatidae.
CUAAAAUUAAAAGAAACAGUUAUUCCUCUGCAAUUAUUUCAAAUAUUAUGGUGUCAGCUGCACUGGAAACUUGUGGGACUUGCUGAUGUAUGGCCUCAUUUGACCAGCCUGGUCCUGCCUCCAGAGAGCAGAAAGUAUGAGAGCAAAAACCAAGGAGCUGUGGACUUCCCCUCUUACAGAAAGGACAUUUUUCAGGAAUUUGCCUAAGAAGGUGAGACUAACCAGGCUGAUUGCUGUUAACUGAAAAUAAUUUUCUACUUGUCUGAGAAUAAGUGAACACCAAAAAUAACCUACAUGGAUUUCACAGGAAAUGUUGAUGACUAUGAAACUUGUUUUGAAGAGAUUUGUUUAUAUUCAUAAAUAUUUUUAUUCACAAAUGAACUUUUUUAUUAACAAGCUUGCUAAACUGUGGCAGCUUAAAUGACACUUGCGUGUGUGGUGGUAUUCCCUCAUAAGGAUGUUAUUUAUCCUUUGAAGAUUUGUAGUUUAGCUCCUAACAGAUUAUAAAAUAGAAAGCUGUGUACAGCCUGCAAGCAAGUUAUUGGACUUCCAAUUAAUAUUUAACUUCAGUUGCUAUUUUUUUGGAGUCACUGUGUGACUUCAUAAAAACAUGCAGAUUUACAUUUCUAAAUGAGAUUUAAAUUAUAAUCUUACUUUUAGUGCAACACCAGUGACUGCUGUUAUUUAAAAAUUCCUGGCAGAAAAAGCUUUGCUUGUUAUUACAGAAGAUUGGAUUUAUUGACCCAUUCUUCUACUCC